AUAUAUUACAUAGCUAAAUAUGUUUAAUGUCAGCUUCCCAGGUCUACAUCUUUCGUGGGUGUCCGCGAUACGAAUUUGACACAGAUGAGUUAUUCGGACAUCUCCGCGACACGGCUGAUAAAUGCGAAAGUAGGAAACAAGUUCGGCUUAUUCCGCCAAACCGUUCGGAGUGAUAAAUAGGGAAAACACGAAGACACGUGUUAGCGAGUCAUAUAUUAAUGACGUUUUAUGUAUCCCGUGACACCACGACACGAAAAUUAAUUCUGUGUCCUUAAUGCAUGACCAAAGAGGGAAGCACCAGGUGUUCUAGAAUCGAUGAACAAAGGUCAGGUCGGAGGUCAAAGGUCAAGUAUCAAACAGGUGGACUGCUCAGGUUCAAGCACCUUCUCCCAGUCAUAAAUCUCUGACUUCUCCAUCGACUGGGUCCGGCACAGGCACAGAAUCGGUCUGGUUGUGAAACCUCUCUAUUAAUUGAGCCACAUCUCACCACCACCAGGAGAAAUGAAGUGGAACGAAUGGUUAACAACAAACAAGUCAGCCAGGUGAUUACACCCUCCAUUAGAAAGAACCACAAGUCUUUACAACUGACAGACAUGGUAAACACAGAUAAAUUAUCUCACAAAACCUU
This is a long non-coding RNA of Gigantopelta aegis, 628 nucleotides long. RefSeq lists it as uncharacterized. Lineage: Eukaryota; Metazoa; Mollusca; Gastropoda; Neomphalida; Peltospiridae. The transcript is spliced from 3 exons. The record is from RefSeq and is a predicted model, not a curated record.